Molecule: RNase P RNA, 213 nt
Filed under: Syntrophomonadaceae bacterium
Lineage: Bacteria; Bacillati; Bacillota; Clostridia; Eubacteriales; Syntrophomonadaceae
Description: Bacterial RNase P class A
Rfam family: Bacterial RNase P class A
About the family: Ribonuclease P (RNase P) is a ubiquitous endoribonuclease, found in archaea, bacteria and eukarya as well as chloroplasts and mitochondria.
Source: Rfam by way of RNAcentral
CAGACCGGUAAGGAUGGAAAGGUGAGGUAAGAGCUCACCAGCGGCUAGGUGACUAGGCCGGCUAGGUAAACCCCACCUGGAGCAAGACCAAAUAGGGGAACAAUGGAGUUGCCCGCUCCGUUCCCGGGUAAGGUCGCUUGAGUCGUCAGGCAACUGACGACCUAGAUAGAUAAUCACCCGCGACAGAACUCGGCUUAUCGAUUUGCUCAAAAA